CCUUAUCCCUCCACCUCAUUCUUUCUCUCUCCUCACCCAUCAGCAAAUCCGUUCCCUUCCUCUCUUAUAGCAAGACCCAUUCCUUCAUUCCAUUGUCAAUUUUCUCAUCCUCUGAACGUUGCUUUCUUUCUUCAAACAUUCAUUCAUUUCUUUUAUUUGUCUUUUCUCGUCACUCACCCUCUCUUCGUUUCUUCUUGCUGAAGCACACCACCACCAUCAUGAAACCAUGUGGACAGCACCACAAAUCCACUACAACCAUGCCAUUUUCUUCUUCUCGACCAAGGCUAUUAUCAAGCUUUCUCCACUUCCAAUUAUUUCCAAGAAGCCAUGCACGCAACCAGCCUUCAUUCUUCCCUCUGUUUAACACAGCCGAGAGCUCCUCCAUGAAAAAAAAGGGGACAAUCACUACAAAGAGAAGGAGCCACGAUAGCAUAGGCACACUACCACCAUCAUCUUCAUCUUCAUCUUCUCAUUUUAUGGGUACGAAUAACGGGAGCGCUUGACGACGAAACCAAAGAACAAAAAAAAGAAGCGAGCCGACACGGGAAAGCAAGGAUGUGUUUGGAUUGGAGUUGCAGUUUAAGAAAGAAAUUGGCUAAGGUGCUUUUGAGGAUUUCUCGGAGGACCAACACUUUGAGUGCGAGGAAGCACUAGUUGAUCAUUCUGGAGAACUUUCAGGUGAGGGCUUCUCAAUGAAUCUCUAGUUAAUGCUUAGGGUCGUUAUUUCGACAUUGUUUACUGUUUAUGCACUGAGAUUGUGUGUGAUUGAAAAUGUUUUCUGAGGCUUCGGCUGACAAUGUAGAUGAUUCAUCUACUGAAUGUUUUUGAAGAUUGACUUACAUGCUAUGUGCUAUGUGGGUAAUCUAGGAUGUGUGGUGCAUGCUUUAUAUGCUAAGUGCUAAGUGUUAAUGUUGAGAUUUCUUGAUAUAUGACAUGUUGUUGAUUGUGAUGAUUUAAAUAUGCUUUACACUGGAAAUCUGAGAUUCUGAAUGGUGAGGAUAGCGGGCAGGUCAUGCCGAUUUUAUUUUGAGAGUUUUGAGAAAGUUUGAUAGGACGAACGAGGUUCGGGCCUUGAUUUUGUUUUAGUGGAUCGAGACAUCCUCUGGAAGCGACUUGGGAUUGGGAGAUCCUGCAAAUGUAUAAGACUUGCGAUAAGACAAAAUGGAAUCUAUUUUAUAAAGAAAACUCAUAAGACCUUAAAUAACCUCUAAAUCUUUAAGUAAUGAUAACAACCUCGAAGGAAGGCAUUGGAAGUGAAAUCUUAAUUUUGGGAAAACGAGGAGUGUCGUCGGAUCCAAGUGUUGAGUAUGUUGUCAUUGUGCUGUUGGAGCAGCGUUUGAUGUUGUGCUGUUGGAGCAGCGUUUGAUGUUGUGCUGUUGGAGCAGCGUUUAUUGUUGUGCUGUUGGAGCAGCGUGUGUUAUUGUGCUGUUGGAGCAGCGUGUGUUGUGGUGCUGUUGGAGCAGCUAUGUGUCGUUAUGAAGUGUGUCUUUUGGUCGCAGAAUCGACUUUACCUUAGGGUAAGCUUUUAGAGACUUUAACUUCCCUAGAACACGUGGCGACGUGUCGAGUGAGGUCGGAGACGUUGUUUGACUA
Molecule: long non-coding RNA, 1593 nt
Organism: Lotus japonicus
Lineage: Eukaryota; Viridiplantae; Streptophyta; Magnoliopsida; Fabales; Fabaceae
Exons: 3
Source: RefSeq, a predicted model, not a curated record